CGCUUACCACUUUGUGGUUCAUGACUGGGGUGAAGUCGUAACAAGGUAGCGCUAGGGGAACCUGGCGCUGGAUCACCUCCUUAAACGAUGAU
This 92-nucleotide ribosomal RNA is filed under the name Vibrio parahaemolyticus. RNAcentral's name for it is "partial 16S ribosomal RNA". It matches the Rfam family "Bacterial small subunit ribosomal RNA", at positions 1451 to 1533 of the family's 1533-position model. The record is from RNAcentral. Lineage: Bacteria; Pseudomonadati; Pseudomonadota; Gammaproteobacteria; Vibrionales; Vibrionaceae.